GACGAACGCUGGCGGCGUGCUUAACACAUGCAAGUCGAGCGGUAAGGCCCUUUCGGGGGUACACGAGCGGCGAACGGGUGAGUAACACGUGGGUGACCUGCCCUCAGCUCUGGGAUAAGCCUGGGAAACCGGGUCUAAUACCGGAUAUGACUCCAUGACGCAUGUUGUGGGGUGGAAAGCCUUGUGCGGCUGAGGAUGGGCCCGCGGCCUAUCAGCUUGUUGGUGGGGUGAUGGCCUACCAAGGCGACGACGGGUAGCCGGCCUGAGAGGGCGACCGGCCACACUGGGACUGAGACACGGCCCAGACUCCUACGGGAGGCAGCAGUGGGGAAUUUUGGACAAUGGGCGCAAGCCUGAUCCAGCCAUGCCGCGUGCGGGAUGAAGGCC
Molecule: ribosomal RNA, 387 nt
Filed under: uncultured bacterium
Lineage: Bacteria
Description: bacterial SSU rRNA
Rfam family: Bacterial small subunit ribosomal RNA
Source: RNAcentral